Molecule: ribosomal RNA, 119 nt
Filed under: Sorex araneus (European shrew)
Lineage: Eukaryota; Metazoa; Chordata; Mammalia; Eulipotyphla; Soricidae
Source: RNAcentral
GUCUACAGUCAUACCACUCUGAACGCGCCCGAUCUCAUCUGAUCUUGGAAGCUAAACAAGGUUGGGCCUGGUUAGUACUUGGAUGGGAGACCUACUGGGAAUACUGAGUGCUGUAGAUG